Non-coding RNA from Puntigrus tetrazona (Sumatra barb), 1396 nucleotides. The record is from the annotation of a RefSeq genome assembly. NCBI's taxonomy places the organism in Eukaryota, Metazoa, Chordata, Actinopteri, Cypriniformes, Cyprinidae.
ACUAAAAAGAUUAUUAUUAUUAGUAAGAUUAUUGUUAUUAAUGUUUACAGAUUUAAUAAAGUAUUAAAAUCUUAUUCUGUCUUUUCUUUAAUAUACUUUGACAAAGGCUUUGAAAUCACAGAUCACAAGAAAUGGUUUCAUUAAAUGAGGAAAGAAUAUUUUUCCCACUGGGUGGAGCUUAGUGUCAAGAUGUACAAGCAGUUUAAUCUGAGGGAGAAUGUCAGAACUCAAUAGCAUCUAGUCUGAAUAAGUCUUUCAGAUUUUUCAGAUUUCAGCUGUCAUGGUUCAUUUCAUUCUCCUCAGUCUUUGGUGGAUGUGUAUUGGUCACACAGAGGCAGACAUCAUAAAAUCUUUCUCACAGACUGAAAAUAAACAUGUUGAAGACAGUGUUACUCUGUCCUGCAGUUACAAAGAGUAUACGGGCACUGUAAAUAAUUUAUUCUGGUACAGACAGUACCCCAAAUCCAAACCGGAGUUCCUGCUUUACAUCUUGCCCCAAGGACAUCUCAGUGAAAAUAGACCACCCAGAUUUACUGCCGAAGUUAAUCAAGACAACAAACAGGUGGAUCUGAAGAUCUCCUCUGCCGUAGAGACAGAUUCUGCCGUGUACUACUGUGCCCUGGAGCCCACAGUGACAGGAAAUCUAACUAUAUCAUACAAAAACCUCCGUUCUAUCAUUAAAGAAAGAUGAAGCCUCAAAAACUUAUUUCAUCCAGUCUCAUAGGUCAGUGCAUAACCGCCACAAUACAGUCAACAACAGUUUACAUUACCCAAAUGACUGAAAUAGCAGAUAUUUUUAUAUGUACACUGAGUUUUUCUGUCAAUUCAGAGUAUCUCACCUGAUUUGAGUUUUGUCUUGCAUGCAGAUUAACUGAGUUCUUGUGGUUAUUACAUUGUAUUGAUGGUAUUUAGUCUGCUCAAAUUCAGAGAUUAAUUUGAAGAGCUCAUAUGAUGUAUGGUUUCCAUUAUUAAGCUCUUACUAUACUGUUUUAGGAGGAAAUGUGCAGCAUUGAUUUUCAAAGUCAUUUUUUUUCUCUUUAUUAGAUGUUGUUCUUUUUUUGCUAAAAUAUCAGGUCUUCGUUAUUUUUUAACAAAGAUUCGAAACACUGCAACAAAAACCUGAAAUCAUUAGCAGCAGACAGAUUUCAAAUCAGUUUUUGAAACACUGACAUAAAUCCAAGUGUGAUGUCUACACUUGAAUCAAGUAAAAUGAAACAUGAAGGUGAUGUUUCAGAAUACAUAUGUGUGAGUUUAUGCACUGACAAAGCUAGAAUCUACUUAACAUUAAUAAAAAAAAACAUCUUACCUCUGAACAUGCAGUGACUGCUGAAUGUCAUUUUAACAGGUCUGAAUAUAAAAAGUAAGAUAAAUAACUUUCCUAUGGGGCGGAGCUUAA